Molecule: long non-coding RNA, 718 nt
Organism: Oncorhynchus keta (chum salmon)
Lineage: Eukaryota; Metazoa; Chordata; Actinopteri; Salmoniformes; Salmonidae
Exons: 4
Source: RefSeq, a predicted model, not a curated record
CAGUCAGAUGCUUACUUACAGGCCAUUCCCAACAACGCUGAGAAAAACAACAGGUGUAGACUAACAGUCAGAUUCUUACUUACAGGCCAUUCCCAACAACGCUGAGAAAAACAACAGGUGUAGACUAACAGUCAGAUGCUUACUUACAGGCCAUUCCCAACAACGCUGAGAAAAACAACAGGUGUAGACUAACAGUCAGAUUCUUACUUACAGGCCAUUCCCAACAACGCUGAGAAAAACAACAGGUGUAGACUAACAGUCAGAUGCUUACUUACAGGCCAUUCCCAACAACGCUGAGAAAAACAACAGGUGUAGACUAACAGUCAGAUUCUUACUUACAGGCCAUUCCCAACAACGCUGAGAAAAACAACAGGUGUAGACUAACAGUCAGAUGCUUACUUACAGGCCAUUCCCAACAACGCUGAGAAAAACAACAGGUGUAGACUAACAGUCAGAUUCUUACUUACAGGCCAUUCCCAACAACGCUGAGAAAAACAACAGGUGUAGACUAACAGUCAGAUUCUUACUUACAGGCCAUUCCCAACAACGCUGAGAAAAACAACAGGUGUAGACUAACAGUCAGAUGCUUACUUACAGGCCAUUCCCAACAACGCUGAGAAAAACAACAGGUGUAGACUAACAGUCAGAUUCUUACUUACAGGCCAUUCCCAACAACGCUGAGAAAAACAACAGGUGUAGACUAACAGUCAGAUGCUUA